AAGAUUUAGACACAUGUUCAGAUUUAUUUGGAAAUUCACAGUUUCUAAAUUGCACUAAGGCUCUGGAGAUACAGUUGUAUUAACCACAUAGUUCUAAGCAAUAAAAUAAAAAUCCUCCUUUGAAUUUUCUUGCAGAUGAGUCCAAUGUUUUAGCACAGGGUGCAUGUUUGCAUCACACGAUACUAAGAAAAUGCUUAGUCUUAAAAAGAAUCCAGAUGGUGAAGUGUUAAUGAAUGAAGCGGAGAGCAGCAAAACCAUAAACAAAAUGGGUAAAGGGUAAACAUGUUCAUUACCAAAAGCAUGGCAUUUAGACACAAAUACAAAAGUAGAAUGCCAGGUGUCAACAUACUGGGGCACCAAUAAAGUGCAGAAACCAUGUUUAUCUCAACAUCACAAAGGGCCUGAAAUCAGAUCAACAACAAUAGUAUAUACAAAGAUAUGCUUUUUCUUUCAGCUACACUGGGAGUUUAUUUUCUAAUAUUGUUGGUAAUUUACAAAACAAAAAAUAUCAUUAGGAUGUACCACCACCAAACGCAGGUCUGUACAAUUUCAAAACAGUGUAAAUGUAUGAGGAUUACCUUGGUUGAUACUAAUAAACUACAAAAUGAAUGGCUACUGCAGAUGACAACCUUCUCAGGAAUUUAUUUACUAAAUUAUAGUAAUUGUGUUAACUUGACAUCCAACAUGUGACAUUUAGGGUAAAACAAAUCACUUGAAUGCGAGGGGUGUUUGCAAGUCUGUUCUAACUGCACCAUGACAAACGGUUUAAUGAACAGGCAUCCAAGGUCUCUUAUUGGCCUGUACUUUGUCAUUUAUUCAAGUAAUCGUUUGAGAUAUAUUGACACGGAGGGCAUAUUUUAGCAUGUCCCUGCUGGGCCAGGAUUGGGCUAUAAAUUUCUUGUGUUACCAUUCCCCCCCAAAAAUAAAAUAUGGAAUGAGGCAGGGCUGUACUGCCUGAGAAAUAUCCAACAAACAAAGAAAGUGUACCUAAAAAUUGGGAGAAAAACAAUAGCCUAAACUUCUUGAAGAUAAAAGGGCUGGUAUAAAAGAGGACGAAGAGGUCCAAAAACAAUAACAAUUUUAUUGGAUAUCGAUACUAAAAGGUUGAAACAAUGAAAACAAAAGAAAAAUAAAUAUAAAAUAGUUGAUAUAAAUUCUGAUGUCCUGAAAAAUAUAUGUACAAUUAACUGCUGCGCACGUCUGAGCUGUUGGAGAGAGAUUGUAUAGGUGCUGCUUGUAUAUAAACACGAGGAAAAAUAGUAUGUACUGCGGUUUAGAUAUAGAAAAAUAUAUCAAUAGGUUCUGUAUAAUUAAAAAGCAAGGUACUACUUAAGUUCCAAUAGUCCAGAACCCUAAUGCUUAGACAUAUAAUCA
Molecule: non-coding RNA, 1374 nt
Organism: Pelobates cultripes (western spadefoot toad)
Lineage: Eukaryota; Metazoa; Chordata; Amphibia; Anura; Pelobatidae
Source: the annotation of a GenBank genome assembly